AGUGAACGCUGGCGGUAGGCCUAACACAUGCAAGUCGAACGGCAGCACAGUAAGAGCUUGCUCUUACGGGUGGCGAGUGGCGGACGGGUGAGGAAUACAUCGGAAUCUACUUUUUCGUGGGGGAUAACGUAGGGAAACUUACGCUAAUACCGCAUACGACCUACGGGUGAAAGCAGGGGAUCUUCGGACCUUGCGCGAUUGAAUGAGCCGAUGUCGGAUUAGCUAGUUGGCGGGGUAAAGGCCCACCAAGGCGACGAUCCGUAGCUGGUCUGAGAGGAUGAUCAGGCACACUGGAACUGAGACACGGUACAGACUCCUACGGGAGGCAGCAGUGGGGAAUAUUGGACAAUGGGCGCAAGCCUGAUCCAGCCAUACCGCGUGGGUGAAGAAGGCCUUCGGGUUGUAAAGCCCUUUUGUUGGGAAAGAAAAGCAGCAGGUUAAUACCCCGCUGUUCUGACGGUACCCAAAGAAUAAGCACCGGCUAACUUCGUG
RNAcentral lists this ribosomal RNA (492 nucleotides) under uncultured bacterium. RNAcentral's name for it is "partial 16S ribosomal RNA". It matches the Rfam family "Bacterial small subunit ribosomal RNA", at positions 29 to 507 of the family's 1533-position model. The record is from RNAcentral.